This 467-nucleotide ribosomal RNA is filed under the name uncultured bacterium. Its description in RNAcentral is "partial 16S ribosomal RNA". It matches the Rfam family "Bacterial small subunit ribosomal RNA", at positions 28 to 506 of the family's 1533-position model. The record is from RNAcentral.
GACGAACGCUGGCGGCGAGCUUAACACAUGCCAGCCAAACGGGAAUGCCCUUCUUUUUUGGGGUGCUCGAGUGGCUAACGGGUGAGUAACACGUUAGUAACCUGCCCUUGACUUUGAGAUAACUUCAUGAAACGGGGGCUAAUACCGGAUAGGAGCUCCGGCUGCAUGGUUGGGGUUGGCAAGUAUCUGCUGUUGUAGAUGGACUCGCGGCCCAUCAGCUUGUUUGUGGGGUAGUGGUUUGGCAAUGAAUUGACGGGUAUCCGCCGUGAGAGGGUGACGGGCCAAAUUGGGGCUGAGAUCAGGCCAAGACGCAUACGAGAGCCAGAAGUGGUGAAUAUUGAACAAUCAGCGGAGGCGUGAUGCAGCAACGCCGAGCGCGGGAUGACGGCAUUCGGGUUGUAAACCGCUUUCGCCUGUGACGAAGCGGGAGUGACGGUAAUCGGUAAAGAAGCACCGGCUAACUACGU